Molecule: long non-coding RNA, 1644 nt
Filed under: Ficedula albicollis (Collared flycatcher)
Lineage: Eukaryota; Metazoa; Chordata; Aves; Passeriformes; Muscicapidae
Description: lncRNA (ENSFALG00000025879.1)
Source: RNAcentral
AUGCUCCGUUCCCAGUACCGGAGGUCACCGGUGCUCCCCGUACUGGGAUGCUCCGUUCCCAGUACCGGGGUCACUGGGAUGCUCCGUUCCCAGUACUGGGGUCACUGGGAUGCUCCAUUCCCAGUACCGGGGGUCACCGGUGCUCCCCGUUCCCAGUUCCCAAGGUCACUGGGAUUCCCCAUUCCCGUUCCCGGGGGUCACCGGGAUUCCCUGUUCCCGUUACCGGGGUCACUGGUGUUCCCCAUUCCCGGUACCGGGGGUCACCGGGAUUCCCUGUUCCCGUUACCGGGGUCACUGGUGUUCCCCAUUCCCGUUACCGGGGGUCACCAGGAUUCCCUGUUCCCGUUACCGGGGUCACUGGUGUUCCCCAUUCCCGGUACCGGGAGUCACCGGGAUUUCCUGUUACCGGGGAUCACCGGUGUUCCCCGUUCCCGGGGUCACCAGGAUUUCCCGUUAAUGGGGAUCACCGGUGUUCCCCGUUCUCGGUACCGGGGGUCACUGGUGUUCCCUAUUCCCGUUACCGGAGAUCACAGGGAUUCCCCGUUCCCGCUGUCACCGGUGUUCCCCGUUCCCGUUCCCGGGAUCACCGGUGUUCCCUGUUCCCGUUACCGGGAGUUCACCGGUGCUCCCCGUUCCCGUUCCCGGGGUCACCGGUGUUCCCUGUUCCUGUUACUGGGAGUCACCGGUGUUCCCCGUUCCCGGGGUCACCGGUGUUCCCUGUUCCCGUUACCGGGAGUCACCGGUGUUCCCCGUUCCCGUUCCCGGGAGUCACCGGUGUUCCCUGUUCCCGUUCCCGGGGUCACCGGUGCUCCCCGUUCCCGUUCCCCCGCCCGCCGCCAGGGGUCGCUGCCGCGCGGGGCGGGUCCCGCGCCGCCGCCCCCCCCCCCCCCCCCCCCCCCCCCCCCCCCCCCCCCCCCCCCCCCCCCCCCCCCGGGGUCGCCGGGAUUCCCUGUUCCCGUUACCGGGGUCACUGGUGUUCCCCAUUCCCGGUACCGGGGGUCACCGGGAUUCCCUGUUCCCGUUACCGGGGUCACUGGUGUUCCCCAUUCCCGUUACCGGGGGUCACCAGGAUUCCCUGUUCCCGUUACCGGGGUCACUGGUGUUCCCCAUUCCCGGUACCGGGAGUCACCGGGAUUUCCUGUUACCGGGGAUCACCGGUGUUCCCCGUUCCCGGGGUCACCAGGAUUUCCCGUUAAUGGGGAUCACCGGUGUUCCCCGUUCUCGGUACCGGGGGUCACUGGUGUUCCCUAUUCCCGUUACCGGAGAUCACAGGGAUUCCCCGUUCCCGCUGUCACCGGUGUUCCCCGUUCCCGUUCCCGGGAUCACCGGUGUUCCCUGUUCCCGUUACCGGGAGUUCACCGGUGCUCCCCGUUCCCGUUCCCGGGGUCACCGGUGUUCCCUGUUCCUGUUACUGGGAGUCACCGGUGUUCCCCGUUCCCGGGGUCACCGGUGUUCCCUGUUCCUGUUACUGGGAGUCACCGGUGUUCCCCGUUCCCGGGGUCACCGGUGUUCCCUGUUCCUGUUACUGGGAGUCACCGGUGUUCCCCGUUCCCGGGGUCACCGGUGUUCCCUGUUCCCGUUACCGGGAGUCCCCCCCCCCCCCCCCCCCCCCCCCCCCCCCCCCCCCCCCCCCCCCCCCCCCCC